Molecule: ribosomal RNA, 722 nt
Filed under: uncultured Fusobacterium sp.
Lineage: Bacteria; Fusobacteriati; Fusobacteriota; Fusobacteriia; Fusobacteriales; Fusobacteriaceae
Description: bacterial SSU rRNA
Rfam family: Bacterial small subunit ribosomal RNA
Source: RNAcentral
GAUGAACGCUGACAGAAUGCUUAACACAUGCAAGUCAACUUGAACUUCGGUUUGGGUGGCGGACGGGUGAGUAACGCGUAAAGAACUUGCCUCACAGUUAGGGACAACAUUUGGAAACGAAUGCUAAUACCUGAUAUUAUGAUUUUAAGGCAUCCUAGAAUUAUGAAAGCUAUAUGCACUGUGAGAGAGCUUUGCGUCCCAUUAGCUAGUUGGAGAGGUAACAGCUCACCAAGGCAAUGAUGGGUAGCCGGCCUGAGAGGGUGAUCGGCCACAAGGGGACUGAGACACGGCCCUUACUCCUACGGGAGGCAGCAGUGGGGAAUAUUGGACAAUGGACCAAGAGUCUGAUCCAGCAAUUCUGUGUGCACGAUGAAGUUUUUCGGAAUGUAAAGUGCUUUCAGUUGGGAAGAAAAAAAUGACGGUACCAACAGAAGAAGUGACGGCUAAAUACGUGCCAGCAGCCGCGGUAAUACGUAUGUCACAAGCGUUAUCCGGAUUUAUUGGGCGUAAAGCGUGUCUAGGUGGUUAUGUAAGUCUGAUGUGAAAAUGCAGGGCUCAACUCUGUAUUGCGUUGGAAACUGUGUAACUAGAGUACUGGAGAGGUAAGCGGAACUACAAGUGUAGAGGUGAAAUUCGUAGAUAUUUGUAGGAAUGCCGAUGGGGAAGCCAGCUUACUGGACAGAUACUGACGCUGAAGCGCGAAAGCGUGGGUAGCAAACAGG